GCCGAUGAUGAAGAUUCAGAAGACCCCGAUGCAGGAACUCUACGGCGAAUCGAAGGCUGAUCGGACGGUUUGGAUGAAGAAGUAUCAGACGACCUAUUCCCAGAUUCGCCAGUAUCACCACCUAAAUCUUCACUGGAAACAUUCUGAAUUUCCGAUAAUAGAUCGUCAACGGAGAGCGUCGGAUCAAGACGACGAGCUUUAUUCACAAAUUUUAGGGCACGGGUCCGAUUCCCAGCUUCCAAAGAUUCUUUCCCGAUUUUCAAACAUUUCAAAGCGUCGUCUUUGUUCCCGUCCAUCAGAAAUAACGCAA
Molecule: unclassified non-coding RNA, 310 nt
Filed under: Hevea brasiliensis (rubber tree)
Lineage: Eukaryota; Viridiplantae; Streptophyta; Magnoliopsida; Malpighiales; Euphorbiaceae
Source: RNAcentral